This 253-nucleotide ribosomal RNA is filed under the name uncultured bacterium. Its description in RNAcentral is "partial 16S ribosomal RNA". It matches the Rfam family "Bacterial small subunit ribosomal RNA", at positions 524 to 776 of the family's 1533-position model. The record is from RNAcentral.
UACAGAGGGUGCAAGCGUUAAUCGGAAUUACUGGGCGUAAAGCGUGCGUAGACGGUUGCGUAAGUCAGAUGUGAAAGCCCCGGGCUCAACCUGGGAAUUGCAUUGGAAACUAGCGGGCUGGAGUGUGGCAGAGGGGGGUGGAAUUCCACGUGUAGCAGUGAAAUGCGUAGAGAUGUGGAGGAACACCGAUGGCGAAGGCAGCCCCCUGGGCUAACACUGACGCUCAUGCACGAAAGCGUGGGGAGCAAACAGG